CGUAGGGUGCGAGCGUUAAUCGGAAUUACUGGGCGUAAAGUGUGCGCAGGUGGCCGCGCAUGUCGAGUGUGAAAUCCCCGGGCUUAACUUGGGAAUUGCGCUCGAAACUACGUGGCUUGAGUGUGGCAGAGGAAGGUGGAAUUCCAGGUGUAGCGGUGAAAUGCGUAGAGAUCUGGAGGAACACCGAUGGCGAAGGCAGCCUUCUGGGCCAACACUGACACUCAUGCACGAAAGCGUGGGGAGCAAACAGGAUUAGAUACCCUGUAGUCCACGCCCUAAACGAUGAUGACUAGUUGUUGGAGGAGUUAAAUCCUUUAGUAACGCAGCUAACGCGUGAAGUCAUCCGCCUGGGGAGUACGGUCGCAAGAUUA
RNAcentral lists this ribosomal RNA (371 nucleotides) under uncultured organism. RNAcentral's name for it is "bacterial SSU rRNA". It matches the Rfam family "Bacterial small subunit ribosomal RNA", at positions 526 to 896 of the family's 1533-position model. The record is from RNAcentral.